Molecule: ribosomal RNA, 767 nt
Filed under: Trechisibus antarcticus
Lineage: Eukaryota; Metazoa; Arthropoda; Insecta; Coleoptera; Carabidae
Description: partial 16S ribosomal RNA
Rfam family: Bacterial large subunit ribosomal RNA (bases 1-573)
Source: RNAcentral
UUGAUUUAUAUAUAAAGUCUGACCUGCCCACUGAAAAUUUUAAAUGGCUGCAGUAAUUUGACUGUACAAAGGUAGCAUAAUCAUUAGUUUUUUAAUUAAAAGCUUGUAUGAAAGGUUGGACGAAGUAAAAUCUGUCUCUUUUUAAUAUAAUUAGAAUUUAAUUUUUAAGUAAAAAAGCUUAAAUUUUUAUAAAAGACGAGAAGACCCUAUAGAGUUUAAUAAUUUUAAUAAAAUAUUUAAUUAAGAUUUAUUAAUUUUAUUUAAUUAAAAUUAUUUUAUUGGGGUAAUAAAAAGAUUAAAAAAAUUCUUUUUUUUUAAUACAUUAAUUUAUGAAUAUAUGAUCCAUUUGUAGUGAUUAAAAGAUUAAAUUACCUUAGGGAUAACAGCGUAAUUUUUUUAAAGAGUUCUUAUCGAUAAAAAAGUUUGCGACCUCGAUGUUGGAUUAAAGAUUAAUUUAGGUGUAGAAGUUUAAAUUUUUGGUCUGUUCGACCAUUAAAUCUUUACAUGAUCUGAGUUCAAACCGGUGUAAGCCAGGUUGGUUUCUAUCUUUAUUAAUUUUUUAUAUUUUAGUACGAAAGGACCAAAUAUAAAAUAUAUAAAUAUUUUUAUUUUGAAUAUUAUUAAAUUAGUUAUUUUGGCAGAUUAGUGUAAUGAAUUUAGAAUUCAUUUAUGUAAAUAUUUUACAAAUAAUACUUGUUUAUAAAAGAUAUAAUUAUUUCUUUUAUUUUAAUUAUUUUAUUAAUUAUUUGUGUUUUAGUAGGUGUAGC